RNAcentral lists this ribosomal RNA (254 nucleotides) under uncultured bacterium. RNAcentral describes it as "partial 16S ribosomal RNA". It matches the Rfam family "Bacterial small subunit ribosomal RNA", at positions 524 to 776 of the family's 1533-position model. The record is from RNAcentral.
UACGUAGGGGGGCAAGCGUUGUCCGGAAUUAUUGGGCGUAAAGCGCGUGUAGGCGGCUCGGCAAGUCGGAUGUGAAAGCCCUGGGCUCAACCUAGGAAGUGCAUUCGAAACUGCAGAGCUUGAGUUCUGGAGAGGAAGGCGGAAUUCUCGGUGUAGAGGUGAAAUUCGUAGAUAUCGAGAGGAACACCUGUGGCGAAGGCGGCCUUCUGGACAGUGACUGACGCUGAGACGCGAAAGCGUGGGGAGCGAACAGG